This 58-nucleotide transfer RNA is filed under the name Salmo trutta (river trout). It matches the Rfam family "tRNA", at positions 8 to 63 of the family's 71-position model. Rfam says of the family: Transfer RNA (tRNA) molecules are approximately 80 nucleotides in length. Their secondary structure includes four short double-helical elements and three loops (D, anti-codon, and T loops). Further hydrogen bonds mediate the characteristic L-shaped molecular structure. tRNAs have two regions of fundamental functional importance: the anti-codon, which is responsible for specific mRNA codon recognition, and the 3' end, to which the tRNAs corresponding amino acid is attached (by aminoacyl-tRNA synthetases). tRNAs cope with the degeneracy of the genetic code in two manners: having more than one tRNA (with a specific anti-codon) for a particular amino acid; and 'wobble' base-pairing, i.e. permitting non-standard base-pairing at the 3rd anti-codon position. The record is from Rfam by way of RNAcentral. Lineage: Eukaryota; Metazoa; Chordata; Actinopteri; Salmoniformes; Salmonidae.
UGGCUCAGUUGGUAGAGCGUGGUGUUUGCAACGCCAGGGUUGUGGCUUCGAUUCCCAC